CCUACGGGUGGCAGCAGUGGGGAAUAUUGCACAAUGGGGGAAACCCUGAUGCAGCGACGCCGCGUGAGUGAAGAAGUAUCUCGGUACGUAAAGCUCUAUCAGCAGGAAAGAAAAUGACGGUACCUGACUAAGAAGCCCCGUCAAACUACGUGCCAGCAGCCGCGGUAAUACGUAGGGGGCAAGCGUUAUCCGGAUUUACUGGGUGUAAGGGGUGCGCAGGCGGAAGAUAAAGUCAGCGGUAAAAUUGAGAGGCUCAACCUCUUCGAGCCGUUGAAACUGGUUUUCUUGAGUGAGCGAGAGGUAUGCGGAAUGCGUGGUGUAGCGGUGAAAUGCAUAGAUAUCACGAAGAACUCCGAUUGCGAAGGCAGCAUACCGGCGCUCAACUGACGCUCAUGCACGAAAGUGUGGGUAUCGAACAGGAUUAGAUACCCGUGUAGUC
This 439-nucleotide ribosomal RNA is filed under the name uncultured bacterium. RNAcentral describes it as "partial 16S ribosomal RNA". It matches the Rfam family "Bacterial small subunit ribosomal RNA", at positions 338 to 795 of the family's 1533-position model. The record is from RNAcentral.